Molecule: ribosomal RNA, 1372 nt
Filed under: uncultured bacterium
Lineage: Bacteria
Description: bacterial SSU rRNA
Rfam family: Bacterial small subunit ribosomal RNA
Source: RNAcentral
GAUGAACGCUGGCGGCGUGCCUAAUACAUGCAAGUCGAGCGAACGGACGAGAAGCUUGCUUCUCUGAUGUUAGCGGCGGACGGGUGAGUAACACGUGGAUAACCUACCUAUAAGACUGGGAUAACUUCGGGAAACCGGAGCUAAUACCGGAUAAUAUUUUGAACCGCAUGGUUCAAAAGUGAAAGACGGUCUUGCUGUCACUUAUAGAUGGAUCCGCGCUGCAUUAGCUAGUUGGUAAGGUAACGGCUUACCAAGGCAACGAUGCAUGGCCGACCUGAGAGGGUGAUCGGCCACACUGGAACUGAGACACGGUCCAGACUCCUACGGGAGGCAGCAGUAGGGAAUCUUCCGCAAUGGGCGAAAGCCUGACGGAGCAACGCCGCGUGAGUGAUGAAGGUCUUCGGAUCGUAAAACUCUGUUAUUAGGGAAGAACAUAUGUGUAAGUAACUGUGCACAUCUUGACGGUACCUAAUCAGAAAGCCACGGCUAACUACGUGCCAGCAGCCGCGGUAAUACGUAGGUGGCAAGCGUUAUCCGGAAUUAUUGGGCGUAAAGCGCGCGUAGGCGGUUUUUUAAGUCUGAUGUGAAAGCCCACGGCUCAACCGUGGAGGGUCAUUGGAAACUGGAAAACUUGAGUGCAGAAGAGGAAAGUGGAAUUCCAUGUGUAGCGGUGAAAUGCGCAGAGAUAUGGAGGAACACCAGUGGCGAAGGCGACUUUCUGGUCUGUAACUGACGCUGAUGUGCGAAAGCGUGGGGAUCAAACAGGAUUAGAUACCCUGGUAGUCCACGCCGUAAACGAUGAGUGCUAAGUGUUAGGGGGUUUCCGCCCCUUAGUGCUGCAGCUAACGCAUUAAGCACUCCGCCUGGGGAGUACGACCGCAAGGUUGAAACUCAAAGGAAUUGACGGGGACCCGCACAAGCGGUGGAGCAUGUGGUUUAAUUCGAAGCAACGCGAAGAACCUUACCAAAUCUUGACAUCCUUUGACAACUCUAGAGAUAGAGCCUUCCCCUUCGGGGGACAAAGUGACAGGUGGUGCAUGGUUGUCGUCAGCUCGUGUCGUGAGAUGUUGGGUUAAGUCCCGCAACGAGCGCAACCCUUAAGCUUAGUUGCCAUCAUUAAGUUGGGCACUCUAAGUUGACUGCCUGUGACAAACCGGAGGAAGGUGGGGAUGACGUCAAAUCAUCAUGCCCCUUAUGAUUUGGGCUACACACGUGCUACAAUGGACAAUACAAAGGGCAGCGAAACCGCGAGGUCAAGCAAAUCCCAUAAAGUUGUUCUCAGUUCGGAUUGUAGUCUGCAACUCGACUACAUGAAGCUGGAAUCGCUAGUAAUCGUAGAUCAGCAUGCUACGGUGAAUACGUUCCCGGGUCU